This 436-nucleotide ribosomal RNA is filed under the name uncultured soil bacterium. Its description in RNAcentral is "bacterial SSU rRNA". It matches the Rfam family "Bacterial small subunit ribosomal RNA", at positions 26 to 469 of the family's 1533-position model. The record is from RNAcentral.
AGAUUGAACGCUAGCGGGAUGCUUUACACAUGCAAGUCGAACGGCAGCGCGGACUUCGGUCUGGCGGCGAGUGGCGAACGGGUGAGUAAUAUAUCGGAACGUGCCCAGUAGCGGGGGAUAACCACGCGAAAGCGUGGCUAAUACCGCAUACGCCCUACGGGGGAAAGGGGGGAUUCUUCGGAACCUCUCACUAUUGGAGCGGCCGAUAUCAGAUUAGCUAGUUGGUGAGGUAAAGGCUCACCAAGGCGACGAUCUGUAGCUGGUUUGAGAGGACGACCAGCCACACUGGGACUGAGACACGGCCAGACUCCUACGGGAGCAGCAGUGGGAAUUUGGACAAGUGGGGAAACCCUGAUCCAGCCAUCCCGCGUGUGCGAUGGAAGGCCUUCGGGUUAGUAAGCACUUUGCAGGAAGAACGCGUGCCUAAGACGGACGU